This 459-nucleotide ribosomal RNA is filed under the name uncultured Pseudomonas sp. RNAcentral describes it as "bacterial SSU rRNA". It matches the Rfam family "Bacterial small subunit ribosomal RNA", at positions 923 to 1382 of the family's 1533-position model. Lineage: Bacteria; Pseudomonadati; Pseudomonadota; Gammaproteobacteria; Pseudomonadales; Pseudomonadaceae. The record is from RNAcentral.
GCACAAGCGGUGGAUGAUGUGGAUUAAUUCGAUGCAACGCGAAAACCUUACCUACCCUUGACAUGUCCGGAAUCCCGAAGAGAUUUGGGAGUGCUCGCAAGAGAACCGGAACACAGGUGCUGCAUGGCUGUCGUCAGCUCGUGUCGUGAGAUGUUGGGUUAAGUCCCGCAACGAGCGCAACCCUUGUCAUUAGUUGCUACAUUCAGUUGGGCACUCUAAUGAGACUACCGGUGACAAACCCGGAGGAAGGUGGGGAUGACGUCAAGUCCUCAUGGCCCUUAUAGGUGGGGCUACACACGUCAUACAAUGGAUGGUACAAAGGGUCGCCAACCCGCGAGGGGGAGCCAAUCCCAUAAAGCCAUUCGUAGUCCGGAUCGCAGUCUGCAACUCGACUGCGUGAAGUCGGAAUCGCUAGUAAUCGUGGAUCAGAAUGUCACGGUGAAUACGUUCCCGGGUCUU